This 391-nucleotide ribosomal RNA is filed under the name uncultured Alphaproteobacteria bacterium. RNAcentral describes it as "bacterial SSU rRNA". It matches the Rfam family "Bacterial small subunit ribosomal RNA", at positions 370 to 779 of the family's 1533-position model. The record is from RNAcentral. Lineage: Bacteria; Pseudomonadati; Pseudomonadota; Alphaproteobacteria.
AAUGGGGGCAACCCUGAUCCAGCCAUGCCGCGUGAGUGAAGACGGCCUUAGGGUUGUAAAGCUCUUUCAGAUGUGAGGAUAAUGACAGUAACAUCAGAAGAAGCUCCGGCUAAAUUCGUGCCAGCAGCCGCGGUAAUACGAAUGGAGCGAGCGUUGUUCGGAAUCACUGGGCGUAAAGCGUAUGUAGGCGGAAUUGAAAGUCAGAAGUGAAAUCCCGGGGCUUAACCCCGGAACUGUUUUGAAACUUCAAUUCUAGAGUUCUGGAGAGGCAAGGGGAAUUCCGAGUGUAGAGGUGAAAUUCGCAGAUAUUCGGAGGAACACCAGUGGCGUAGGCGCCUUGCUGGACAGAUACUGACGCUGAGAUACGAAAGCGUGGGGAGCAAACAGGAUU